UGGGUAAUGACUCACACAGUGAGAUAACCAC
RNAcentral lists this non-coding RNA (31 nucleotides) under Rattus norvegicus (Norway rat). Lineage: Eukaryota; Metazoa; Chordata; Mammalia; Rodentia; Muridae. The record is from RNAcentral.